Hemicordylus capensis (graceful crag lizard) is the source of this 516-nucleotide long non-coding RNA. RefSeq lists it as uncharacterized. The transcript is spliced from 3 exons. The record is from RefSeq and is a predicted model, not a curated record. NCBI's taxonomy places the organism in Eukaryota, Metazoa, Chordata, Lepidosauria, Squamata, Cordylidae.
UUUUAAGCAGGACUUACAAAUGCAAUAUGCAAGUCAUCGAGGCUGGUUUCUGCAAAGAUGUCCAAGGAGUGCCACAGAAUCACAGCAGAGGCUGAUGGAGUUUCCCUCACCAGAGCUUGAAUAAAAGGGAAUUCAGUGACACUCUGCCAUGUGCAAACAAGACAGCUGUUCCACAUGAAGGGCUGGCCCCAGGAUUGCUGGUAUCUCAGGGGAAGCCUGAUUUUGUGUCGUCCCCCCAACUGCCCUCUUUGCCUGCAGUGUACCCUGCCUCCUUCAUCCAUGCAGGCAUCCUGCUGCCCCACAGGCUCAAUUCAAGGUGCGGAUUAACACAUUUAAAGCUCUAAAUGGCUUGAGUCCCAAGUAUCUGAAGGACUAUCAACUCUUAACCAGAUCUUGCCCCCAGAAAAAUUAUCCAAAGAUGCUCUGCUUUAUAUGCCAUUUCCAACCGAGGCACAGUUGUCACGAACAUGGGACAAGACCUGGUUGUUCCAGGAUGUGGAAUAAUCUCUGGUUGGA